AGUUGGCACGUGUUUGACGUAUGGUACAGCAGCCACUGCUGGCACUUGGGCAGCGGCAUAUCCAAUGUGUUCGGUUUCAACUUUAGCGGGAACACUAUAUGCAAGCUGUGCCUCUUGUCCGAUAUUAUUUAUGACUGCUCUGGAAACGAAAGACAAAACGAUUCAAAACCAGAUUGGAAUCUAGAAAGGUCGUGGACAUGUUAAUUUAUUCCUCAUUCUCACUGGAUUUUAUCUUUAAUUUCGCUUCCUAUACCAUUACUGUAACCUUAAAUCUCUUGUUCCAUUUCAUACUACUACAAGCAUUCUUUUUUGCAGUACUAAGAUUGGUAAAAUGUCGUGAACAAAAUUGUACGAGUACAAAUUCAGUUAUUUAUUAACAACAUCUUGCAAUGCUGAUUCGAAUGAUGCAACAAUAAUGAAAAUUAUAAUCAUAUCGGUGAUCGUCGUUUAAUAAAUAAUGUAGUUCAAUUUCGAAUUACCAAACUCAUUGCAAGCUCUA
Bombus terrestris (buff-tailed bumblebee) is the source of this 499-nucleotide long non-coding RNA. RefSeq lists it as uncharacterized. Lineage: Eukaryota; Metazoa; Arthropoda; Insecta; Hymenoptera; Apidae. The record is from RefSeq and is a predicted model, not a curated record. The transcript has 2 exons.